Molecule: ribosomal RNA, 1491 nt
Filed under: metagenome
Description: bacterial SSU rRNA
Rfam family: Bacterial small subunit ribosomal RNA
Source: RNAcentral
AGAGUUUGAUCCUGGCUCAGAUUGAACGCUGGCGGCAUGCCUUACACAUGCAAGUCGAACGGCAGCACGAGAGCUUGCUCUUGGUGGCGAGUGGCGAACGGGUGAGUAAUAUAUCGGAACGUACCCUAGAGUGGGGGAUAACGUAGCGAAAGUUACGCUAAUACCGCAUACGAUCUACGGAUGAAAGUGGGGGAUCGCAAGACCUCAUGCUCAUGGAGCGGCCGAUAUCUGAUUAGCUAGUUGGUGGGGUAAAAGCUCACCAAGGCGACGAUCAGUAGCUGGUCUGAGAGGACGACCAGCCACACUGGAACUGAGACACGGCCCAGACUCCUACGGGAGGCAGCAGUGGGGAAUUUUGGACAAUGGGCGCAAGCCUGAUCCAGCAAUGCCGCGUGAGUGAAGAAGGCCUUCGGGUUGUAAAGCUCUUUUGUCAGGGAAGAAACGGUGGACUCUAAUACAGAUCACUAAUGACGGUACCUGAAGAAUAAGCACCGGCUAACUACGUGCCAGCAGCCGCGGUAAUACGUAGGGUGCAAGCGUUAAUCGGAAUUACUGGGCGUAAAGCGUGCGCAGGCGGUUGUGCAAGACAGAUGUGAAAUCCCCGGGCUCAACCUGGGAAUUGCAUUUGUGACUGCACGGCUAGAGUGUGUCAGAGGGGGGUAGAAUUCCACGUGUAGCAGUGAAAUGCGUAGAGAUGUGGAGGAAUACCGAUGGCGAAGGCAGCCCCCUGGGAUAACACUGACGCUCAUGCACGAAAGCGUGGGGAGCAAACAGGAUUAGAUACCCUGGUAGUCCGCGCCCUAAACGAUGUCUACUAGUUGUCGGGUCUUAAUUGACUUGGUAACGCAGCUAACGCGUGAAGUAGACCGCCUGGGGAGUACGGUCGCAAGAUUAAAACUCAAAGGAAUUGACGGGGACCCGCACAAGCGGUGGAUGAUGUGGAUUAAUUCGAUGCAACGCGAAAAACCUUACCUACCCUUGACAUGUCUGGAAUCCUUGAGAGAUCAGGGAGUGCUCGAAAGAGAAUCAGAACACAGGUGCUGCAUGGUUGUCGUCAGCUCGUGUCGUGAGAUGUUGGGUUAAGUCCCGCAACGAGCGCAACCCUUGUCAUUAGUUGCUACGAAAGGGCACUCUAAUGAGACUGCCGGUGACAAACCGGAGGAAGGUGGGGAUGACGUCAAGUCCUCAUGGCCCUUAUGGGUAGGGCUUCACACGUCAUACAAUGGUACAUACAGAGGGCCGCCAACCCGCGAGGGGGAGCUAAUCCCAGAAAGUGUAUCGUAGUCCGGAUUGUAGUCUGCAACUCGACUACAUGAAGUUGGAAUCGCUAGUAAUCGCGGAUCAGCAUGUCGCGGUGAAUACGUUCCCGGGUCUUGUACACACCGCCCGUCACACCAUGGGAGCGGGUUUCACCAGAAGUGGGUAGCCUAACCGCAAGGAGGGCGCUCACCACGGUGGGAUUCGUGACUGGGGUGAAGUCGUAACAAGGUA